RNAcentral lists this unclassified non-coding RNA (211 nucleotides) under Hevea brasiliensis (rubber tree). Lineage: Eukaryota; Viridiplantae; Streptophyta; Magnoliopsida; Malpighiales; Euphorbiaceae. The record is from RNAcentral.
UAAAUCCUUGAGUUCCUUCAAGAUACGCUUCGAAGCCAUGAUCUUGAGAAAUCAAAAGGGUUUGCGAUCGACGAGGGGAUGAAGAUCAGGAUCGGCAGGAAAGAGCUGUAGAAAGGGAAAUAAGCUUAGAAAUCAGAUCGAAUGGCGGCCCCCAGAAACCGCUGAAAGUUCUUCGGUCUCUAAAAUUGUCAAAUUCCACAAAAAUUCAGAG